This 400-nucleotide ribosomal RNA is filed under the name phytoplankton environmental sample. RNAcentral describes it as "partial small subunit ribosomal RNA". It matches the Rfam family "Eukaryotic small subunit ribosomal RNA", at positions 587 to 992 of the family's 1831-position model. The record is from RNAcentral.
AGCUCCAAUAGCGUAUCUUAAAGUUGCUGCGGUUAAAAAGCUCGUAGUUGGAUUUCUGCCGAGGACGACCGGUCCGCCCUCUGGGUGAGCAUCUGGCUCGGCCUGGGUAUCUUCUUGGAGAACGUAACUGCACUUGGCCGUGUGGUGCGGUAUUCAGGACUUUUACUUUGAGGAGAUUAGAGUGUUUCACGCAGGCACGCGCCGUGAAUACAUUCGCAUGGAAUAAUAAGUCAGGACAUUGGUUCUAUUUUGUUGGCUUCUAGAUCUGAGGUAAUGAUUAAUAGGGAUAGUUGGGGGCAUCCGUAUUUAACUGCCAGGGGUGAAAUUAUUGGAUUUGUGAAAGACGGACUACUGCGAAAGCAUUUGCCAAGGAUGUUUCAUUGAUCAAGAACGAAAGUAG